Molecule: transfer RNA, 72 nt
Filed under: Camelus bactrianus (Bactrian camel)
Lineage: Eukaryota; Metazoa; Chordata; Mammalia; Artiodactyla; Camelidae
Also listed under: 2 other names
Rfam family: tRNA
About the family: Transfer RNA (tRNA) molecules are approximately 80 nucleotides in length. Their secondary structure includes four short double-helical elements and three loops (D, anti-codon, and T loops).
Source: Rfam by way of RNAcentral
GGGGGUGUAGCUCAGUGGUAGAGCAUGUGCUUAGCAUGCACAAGGUCCUGGGUUCAAUCCUCAGUACCUCCA